Long non-coding RNA from Paramacrobiotus metropolitanus, 1407 nucleotides. RefSeq lists it as uncharacterized. The transcript is spliced from 3 exons. The record is from RefSeq and is a predicted model, not a curated record. NCBI's taxonomy places the organism in Eukaryota, Metazoa, Tardigrada, Eutardigrada, Parachela, Macrobiotidae.
GCUGUUGACACGAAAGCAGCGCACUGGCGCAACUUUAAAAUAUUGACACUCGUAACUGAUAAGGAUGUUUAUGUUUAUUACUCUCAGUCCCAGCAGCACGUUUUUUACUCUUAUGCCAGGUCAUGUGCGCAUUUUGAUGGCCAGAACGUGAGCAAAACUGGCAAAAUCGUUCAGUCGUUGAGUCGGAAAAAAGGUUCAAUAAGGACAAGGCGUAGUACUUGGGUUAAUUAUGCAGUUUUCAGUUAGGGGGUUUCGGAUCUUAGAAGUACAGUGCUUCGAUGUAUUUUCUGCUACAGAGUACAGAGAGUUUUCCGGUCACAUGCUGAUAUGCAGACAUUUCCGGAGAUAUCGUUCUGGGCACAGUACUUACAGUAUCGCCGUGUAAAGUGGGAUCAGUAGCUAGCUUGAGUAUUAAUUUCAACCGCAAUGAAGUCAAACCUCUUUGACUAUUUGACAACUGUUUCUUUUUUCCAAAAGUAAUAUAAAGACAAACGCCCAGAAAACAAUUACUUACUAAAACGACCAUGUAAAAUGAGAAUAUAAAAGAUAAUCAGAGCAUUUUUGCUGUAUAUGUACACAUGCAGCUAGGUACACGCUGCCGCUUUUUUCCGUGAACGACGUAAAACUUGUGCAACCAUAUAAUUUACGAGGAUUUCACGCUCGAUUCCCGGUGGUUCACACUUCAAUAAACCUACUCAUCUCCACCCCCUCCAUCGCCGAAUCCUUCAGCUCCUCCACGGCGCCACGCGACACCGGCUCGUCCACCAUAUCCAGCGUGACCUUUGACCCGCCGAACGACGACAGCAUCACCGAGGAAUCGGAGCGACCGGCGCGGGAAUAGCGCGUUCCCGGCAGGGCAUAAUGCUGCAGACACAACGGGGUGCCGCUCUCUUGCUCCACCGCCGCCUUCCACACACACAGCACCAGCGCGCCGCUCCCGCACAGACACGCGGUGGAGAACAGCCAGACCGCCUGCAGGGCGCUGUACAUGGCGUAGACGUACGCUUCGUCGGCGGCGGACAGAUCGGCUAAUUUGCGGGCCAGGGCCACGCCGGAUUUGGGGAAGGAGAUGGUGUCGUACUCGAAGGCCAGCGCGGCGAAGAACACCAGGGAGUAGGCGACGCCGAUGAUGGUGCCGACAAAAUGGAUGGGCAGCAGGCGCCGGUUGGCCGAUAAGGAGUGGGAGGGUGUGGCGGCGCACAGACCGGUGAUGCCGAUGAUGGCGUGUAGGAGAGACAGGCUGAAGAAGCCAAUGUGGAAGAUGGCAAAGCGCCAGCUGAACAGGUGAACUGCCACUACCAAGAAUUAAGAGAUCAUGUCAAUUAUACAGAUUCAACGCUUCGCAAAAUUAACAUGUGCAAAUGUACUUCUAUAUAUCGCUGCAGUACGUAAUGAGGCUAAUUAAUA